Molecule: transfer RNA, 70 nt
Filed under: Camelus ferus (Wild Bactrian camel)
Lineage: Eukaryota; Metazoa; Chordata; Mammalia; Artiodactyla; Camelidae
Rfam family: tRNA
About the family: Transfer RNA (tRNA) molecules are approximately 80 nucleotides in length. Their secondary structure includes four short double-helical elements and three loops (D, anti-codon, and T loops).
Source: Rfam by way of RNAcentral
GGGGGUAGCUCAGUGGUAGAGCACAUGCUUAGCAUGCGUGAGGUCCUGGGUUCGAUCCCCAGUACAUCCA